GGUUUUAUAAUUUAAAUUAAAUAAAAUAUUAAAUUGCAAAUUUAAAAAUCUUAAUAGUAAAACUU
RNAcentral lists this transfer RNA (65 nucleotides) under Platygaster robiniae. Its description in RNAcentral is "tRNA-Cys". Lineage: Eukaryota; Metazoa; Arthropoda; Insecta; Hymenoptera; Platygastridae. The record is from RNAcentral.